UGGAUCCAGACUUUGAUCCUGGCUCAGGACGAACGCUGGCGGCGUGCUUAACACAUGCAAGUCGAACGGGGUGUUUAUUUCGGUAAACACCAAGUGGCGAACGGGUGAGUAACGCGUAAGCAAUCUACCUUCAAGAUGGGGACAACACUUCGAAAGGGGUGCUAAUACCGAAUGAAUGUAAGAGUAUCGCAUGAGACACUUACUAAAGGAGGCCUCUGAAAAUGCUUCCGCUUGAAGAUGAGCUUGCGUCUGAUUAGCUAGUUGGUGAGGGUAAAGGCCCACCAAGGCGACGAUCAGUAGCCGGUCUGAGAGGAUGAACGGCCACAUUGGGACUGAGACACGGCCCAGACUCCUACGGGAGGCAGCAGUGGGGAAUCUUCCGCAAUGGGCGAAAGCCUGACGGAGCAACGCCGCGUGAACGAUGAAGGUCUUAGGAUCGUAAAGUUCUGUUGUUAGAGACGAAGGGUAAGGAUCAUAAUAAGGUUUUUAUUUGACGGUACCUAACGAGGAAGCCACGGCUAACUACGUGCCAGCAGCCGCGGUAAUACGUAGGCGGCAAGCGUUGUCCGGAAUUAUUGGGCGUAAAGGGAGCGCAGGCGGGAAACUAAGCGGAUCUUAAAAGUGCGGGGCUCAACCCCGUGAUGGGGUCCGAACUGGUUUUCUUGAGUGCAGGAGAGGAAAGCGGAAUUCCCAGUGUAGCGGUGAAAUGCGUAGAUAUUGGGAAGAACACCAGUGGCGAAGGCGGCUUUCUGGACUGUAGCUGACGCUGAGGCUCGAAAGCUAGGGUAGCGAACGGGAUUAGAUACCCCGGUAGUCCUAGCCGUAAACGAUGGAUACUAGGUGUGGGAGGUAUCGACUCCUUCCGUGCCGGAGUUAACGCAAUAAGUAUCCCGCCUGGGGAGUACGGCCGCAAGGUUGCAACUCAAAUGAAUUGACGGA
RNAcentral lists this ribosomal RNA (939 nucleotides) under uncultured Bacillota bacterium. Its description in RNAcentral is "bacterial SSU rRNA". It matches the Rfam family "Bacterial small subunit ribosomal RNA", at positions 1 to 917 of the family's 1533-position model. Lineage: Bacteria; Bacillati; Bacillota. The record is from RNAcentral.